GGUUAAGCGACUAAGCGUACACGGUGGAUGCCCUGGCAGUCAGAGGCGAUGAAGGGCGUGCUAAUCUGCGAUAAGCGCCGGUAAGGUGAUAUGAACCGUUAUAACCGGCGAUACCCGAAUGGGGAAACCCAGUGUGAUUCGUCACACUAUCAUUAACUGAAUCCAUAGGUUAAUGAGGCGAACCGGGGGAACUGAAACAUCUAAGUACCCCGAGGAAAAGAAAUCAACCGAGAUUCCCCCAGUAGCGGCGAGCGAACGGGGAGGAGCCCAGAGCCUGAAUCAGCAUGUGUGUUAGUGGAAGCGUCUGGAAAGGCGCGCGAUACAGGGUGACAGCCCCGUACACAAAAGCGCAUGUGCUGUGAGCUCGAUGAGUAGGGCGGGACACGUGGUAUCCUGUCUGAAUAUGGGGGGACCAUCCUCCAAGGCUAAAUACUCCUGACUGACCGAUAGUGAACCAGUACCGUGAGGGAAAGGCGAAAAGAACCCCGGCGAGGGGAGUGAAAAAGAACCUGAAACCGUGUACGUACAAGCAGUGGGAGCACAGGUUUACCUGUGUGACUGCGUACCUUUUGUAUAAUGGGUCAGCGACUUAUAUUCUGUAGCAAGGUUAACCGAAUAGGGGAGCCGGAGGGAAACCGAGUCUUAAUUGGGCGUUAAGUUGCAGGGUAUAGACCCGAAACCCGGUGAUCUAGCCAUGGGCAGGUUGAAGGUUGGGUAACACUAACUGGAGGACCGAACCGACUAAUGUUGAAAAAUUAGCGGAUGACCUGUGGCUGGGGGUGAAAGGCCAAUCAAACCGGGAGAUAGCUGGUUCUCCCCGAAAGCUAUUUAGGUAGCGCCUCGUGAAUUCAUCUCCGGGGGUAGAGCACUGUUUCGGCUAGGGGGCCAUCCCGGCUUACCAACCCGAUGCAAACUGCGAAUACCGGAGAAUGUUAUCACGGGAGACACACGGCGGGUGCUAACGUCCGUCGUGAAGAGGGAAACAACCCAGACCGCCAGCUAAGGUCCCAAAGUCAUGGUUAAGUGGGAAACGAUGUGGGAAGGCCCAGACAGCCAGGAUGUUGGCUUAGAAGCAGCCAUCAUUUAAAGAAAGCGUAAUAGCUCACUGGUCGAGUCGGCCUGCGCGGAAGAUGUAACGGGGCUAAACCAUGCACCGAAGCUGCGGCAGCGACACUGUGUGUUGUUGGGUAGGGGAGCGUUCUGUAAGCCUGUGAAGGUGUGUCGU
Molecule: ribosomal RNA, 1225 nt
Filed under: Salmonella enterica
Lineage: Bacteria; Pseudomonadati; Pseudomonadota; Gammaproteobacteria; Enterobacterales; Enterobacteriaceae
Description: partial 23S ribosomal RNA
Rfam family: Bacterial large subunit ribosomal RNA
Source: RNAcentral